AGGGUUUGAUCAUGGCUCAGAAUCAACGCUGGCGGCGUGCCUAACACACGCAAGUCGAACGCGGUCACCCAGCAAUGGAUGACUGAGUGGCGAACGGGUGAGUAACACGUGGGUGACCUACCUUCGAGUGGGGGAUAACGUCCCGAAAGGGACGCUAAUACCGCAUAACAUCCUGCCUUUGAACAGGCGGAGAUCAAAGCCGGGGAUCGCAAGACCUGGCGUUUGAAGAGGGGCCCGCGUCCGAUUAGCUAGUUGGUGGGGUAAUGGCCCACCAAGGCGACGAUCGGUAACCGGCCUGAGAGGGCGGACGGUCACACUGGGACUGAGACACGGCCCAGACUCCUACGGGAGGCAGCAGUGGGGAAUUGUUCGCAAUGGGCGCAAGCCUGACGACGCAACGCCGCGUGGAGGAUGAAGGUCUUCGGAUUGUAAACUCCUGUUGCCCGGGACGAAAUGCUUCAACCUAAUACGUUGAAGUUUGACGGUACCGGGUGAGGAAGCCCCGGCUAACUCUGUGCCAGCAGCCGCGGUAAUACAGAGGGGGCAAGCGUUGUUCGGAAUUACUGGGCGUAAAGGGCGCGUAGGCGGCCUGUUAAGUCGAACGUGAAAUCCCCGGGCUCAACCCGGGAACUGCGUCCGAUACUGGCAGGCUUGAAUCCGGGAGAGGGAUGUGGAAUUCCAGGUGUAGCGGUGAAAUGCGUAGAUAUCCGGAGGAACACCGGUGGCGAAGGCGGCAUCCUGGACCGGUAUUGACGCUGAGGCGCGAAAGCCAGGGGAGCAAACGGGAUUAGAUACCCCGGUAGUCCUGGCCCUAAACGAUGAAUGCUUGGUGUGGCGGGUAUCGAUCCCUGCCGUGCCGAAGCUAACGCAUUAAGCAUUCCGCCUGGGGAGUACGGUCG
RNAcentral lists this ribosomal RNA (899 nucleotides) under uncultured Acidobacteriota bacterium. RNAcentral's name for it is "bacterial SSU rRNA". It matches the Rfam family "Bacterial small subunit ribosomal RNA", at positions 8 to 888 of the family's 1533-position model. The record is from RNAcentral. Lineage: Bacteria; Pseudomonadati; Acidobacteriota.